RNAcentral lists this ribosomal RNA (491 nucleotides) under uncultured bacterium. RNAcentral's name for it is "partial 16S ribosomal RNA". It matches the Rfam family "Bacterial small subunit ribosomal RNA", at positions 29 to 506 of the family's 1533-position model. The record is from RNAcentral.
AGUGAACGCUGGCGGUAGGCCUAACACAUGCCAGUCGAACGGCAGCACAGUAAGAGCUUGCUCUUACGGGUGGCGAGUGGCGGACGGGUGAGGAAUACAUCGGAAUCUACUUUUUCGUGGGGGAUAACGUAGGGAAACUUACGCUAAUACCGCAUACGACCUACGGGUGAAAGCAGGGGAUCUUCUGACCUUGCGCGAUUGAAUGAGCCGAUGUCGGAUUAGCUAGUUGGCGGGGUAAAGGCCCACCAAGGCGACGAUCCGUAGCUGGUCUGAGAGGAUGAUCAGCCACACUGGAACUGAGACACGGUCCAGACUCCUACGGGAGGCAGCAGUGGGGAAUAUUGGACAAUGGGCGCAAGCCUGAUCCAGCCAUACCGCGUGGGUGAAGAAGGCCUUCGGGUUGUAAAGCCCUUUUGUUGGGAAAGAAAAGCAGCAGGUUAAUACCCCGCUGUUCUGACGGUACCCAAAGAAUAAGCACCGGCUAACUUCGU